This 524-nucleotide ribosomal RNA is filed under the name uncultured bacterium. RNAcentral's name for it is "bacterial SSU rRNA". It matches the Rfam family "Bacterial small subunit ribosomal RNA", at positions 22 to 518 of the family's 1533-position model. The record is from RNAcentral.
CGUCAGGACGAACGCUGGCGGCGUGCCUAAUACAUGCAAGUCGAACGGUCUUUCUAUGGAAGCUUGCUCCACUGAGAAGAUAGUGGCGAACGGGUGAGUAACAACGUGGGUAACCUGCCCAUAAGAGGGGGAUAACAUCCGGAAACGGGUGCUAAUACCGCAUAGUUUUCUUGAUCGCAUGAUCGGGAAAGGAAAGACGGCCUUUGUGCUGUCGCUUAUGGAUGGACCCGCGGCGUAUUAGUUAGUUGGUGAGGUAACGGCUCACCAAGACGAUGAUACGUAGCCGACCUGAGAGGGUGAUCGGCCACAUUGGGACUGAGACACGGCCCAAACUCCUACGGGAGGCAGCAGUAGGGAAUCUUCCGCAAUGGACGAAAGUCUGACGGAGCAACGCCGCGUGAGUGAAGAAAAGGUUUUCGGAUCGUAAAACUCUGUUGUCAGAGAAGAACAAGUUGGAGAGUAACUGCUCCAGCCUUGACGGUAUCUGACCAGAAAGCCACGGCUAACUACGUGCCAGCAGCCGC